AGUCGAACGGUAGCAGGAAGUGCUUGCACUUUGCUGACGAGUGGCGGACGGGUGAGUAAUGCUUAGGGAUCUGCCUUCGGGAGGGGGAUAACAGUUGGAAACGACUGCUAAUACCGCAUAACACCUACGGGUCAAAGGGGGGUUCGCCUCUCGCCUGAAGAUGAACCUAAGUGAGAUUAGCUAGUUGGUGAGGUAAAGGCUCACCAAGGCGACGAUCUCUAGCUGGUCUGAGAGGAUGACCAGCCACACUGGGACUGAGACACGGCCCAGACUCCUACGGGAGGCAGCAGUGGGGAAUAUUGGACAAUGGGGGCAACCCUGAUCCAGCCAUGCCGCGUGUGUGAAGAAGGCCUUCGGGUUGUAAAGCACUUUCAGACGUGAGGAAAGGUUAGUAGUUAAUACCUGCUAGCUGUGACGUUAGCGUCAGAAGAAGCACCGGCUAACUCCGUGCCAGCAGCCGCGGUAAUACGGAGGGUGCGAGCGUUAAUCGGAAUUACUGGGCGUAAAGCGCACGCAGGCGGUUUGUUAAGCUAGAUGUGAAAGCCCCGGGCUCAACCUGGGAACUGCAUUUAGAACUGGCAGGCUAGAGUCUUGGAGAGGGGAGUGGAAUUCCAGGUGUAGCGGUGAAAUGCGUAGAGAUCUGGAGGAACAUCAGUGGCGAAGGCGACUCCUGGCCAAAGACUGACGCUCAUGUGCGAAAGUGUGGGUAGCGAACAG
RNAcentral lists this ribosomal RNA (717 nucleotides) under uncultured Alteromonadaceae bacterium. RNAcentral describes it as "bacterial SSU rRNA". It matches the Rfam family "Bacterial small subunit ribosomal RNA", at positions 60 to 775 of the family's 1533-position model. The record is from RNAcentral. Lineage: Bacteria; Pseudomonadati; Pseudomonadota; Gammaproteobacteria; Alteromonadales; Alteromonadaceae.